CGGCUCUUGCGUCCAGUCGCCAUUCGGGAGGCCGCUGCGCUGCAGGGCCUGGCGGAGCCGCCCGCUACCGCGAGCCGGGCCCUCCGCGCGGUUCUUCGCCCACUGGACGCCGCCCGCGGCCGGACCGGUUCAACUUCUCGUCUUGUUGUUCUUCUUAUACUAUAGGCUGUUUGCUGUGGUUUAGUCAAAAAGCCAUGUAGAAUGCCUGCCUUUUGAAGACCAAUUUUAAGGUGUCUAGUAAUACAGCAGCGGUAUUGAAAGUUUUUAAAGAAUAUAACCGUGUG
RNAcentral lists this long non-coding RNA (284 nucleotides) under Theropithecus gelada (gelada). RNAcentral describes it as "lncRNA (ENSTGEG00000016704.1)". Lineage: Eukaryota; Metazoa; Chordata; Mammalia; Primates; Cercopithecidae. The record is from RNAcentral.